AUUAAGGUGACAGAAUCUGGUAAUUGUGUAAAACUUAAUCCUUUAUAACCAGAGGUUCAAAUCCUUUCCCUAACA
Molecule: transfer RNA, 75 nt
Filed under: Ovis aries (sheep)
Lineage: Eukaryota; Metazoa; Chordata; Mammalia; Artiodactyla; Bovidae
Rfam family: tRNA
About the family: Transfer RNA (tRNA) molecules are approximately 80 nucleotides in length. Their secondary structure includes four short double-helical elements and three loops (D, anti-codon, and T loops).
Source: Rfam by way of RNAcentral